GAUGAAGAACGCAGCGAAAUGCGAUAAGUAGUGUGAAUUGCAGAAUUCAGUGAAUCAUCGAAUCUUUGAACGCACAUUGCGCCCCUCGGUAUUCCGUGGGGCAUGCCUGUUCGAGCGUCAUUUACCCCUCAAGCACUGCUUGGUGUUGGGCGUCUGUCCCGCUUCGCGCGCGGACUCGCCCCAAAGGUAUUGGCAGCGGUCGUGCCAGCUUCUCGCGCAGCACAUUGCGCUUCUCGAGGCGGUCGAUCGGCGUCCACGAAGCUCACCUCCACCGUUUAACCUCGGAUCAGGUAGGGAUACCCGCUGAACUUAAGCAUAUCAAUAAGCGGAGGA
Molecule: unclassified non-coding RNA, 333 nt
Filed under: soil metagenome
Description: partial contains 5.8S ribosomal RNA, internal transcribed spacer 2, and large subunit ribosomal RNA
Rfam family: 5.8S ribosomal RNA (bases 1-120)
Source: RNAcentral